RNAcentral lists this long non-coding RNA (725 nucleotides) under Gallus gallus (chicken). RNAcentral's name for it is "lncRNA (ENSGALG00010003441.1)". Lineage: Eukaryota; Metazoa; Chordata; Aves; Galliformes; Phasianidae. The record is from RNAcentral.
CCAGCAUAGCUUGAAAGCAGAUCAAUAUCUGAAGCAACAAAGAACCCAACUGAGAACAAAGACUUAGAAAGACACGCAAGUGAUUUCCCAGGGCUCCAGGUGGCUGCAGGAGGGCCUUUAGUGCUGACAUGCCACAACUCCCUGGACUCAGCAGUGAAGAUGUUCAAGCCCAGUGCAACAGGACCAUAAGAAAGACAUUGAGACCCCUCACUACAAGAAAGACAGUGAAGCCCUAGAAUGUGAUCAGAGAAGGGCAUCAAAGCUGGUGAGGAGUCUGGAGCACAAGUCUUAUGGGAAGCAGCUGAGAGAACUGAGGUUGUUCAGUCUGAAGAAGAGGAGGAUCAGGGGAGACCUUAUCACUGUCUACAACCAUCUGAAAGGAGGUUACGCAUGAACUACAGAGAACCCUGCCUAGCAGGUAACCUCACACGAGGAGUACACCUAAAUACUGGAAACCCCCCAGGAAUUUUGUGGCCAUCUAUCAGCACUGACACAUAGAAACUGAGGAUCUGGAGCACACCUGCAGCCACCUGGAAGCCAGACUGUGAGAAAAGAGGCUCCUGAAGGAAUAUUGGCAGCUGCUCCUGGACAGUGCUACACUGAAAAUGUUGCUGUGAUGAGAAAAUUGGAGGCCAGAAUGAGGAUGUGAAAUAAUGUUGAUCUCCGGCAGUUACAAACUGAAAAGGAGGAGCUUGAAGAAAAACAUCAGGGGACCAAAUGCUGGG